GAUGAACGCUGGCGGCGUGCCUAAUACAUGCAAGUCGGGCGAACGGACGAGAAGCUUGCUUCUCUGAUGUUAGCGGCGGACGGGUGAGUAACACGUGGAUAACCUACCUAUAAGACUGGGAUAACUUCGGGAAACCGGAGCUAAUACCGGAUGAUAUUUUGAACCGCAUGGUUCAAAAGUGAAAGACGGUCUUGCUGUCACUUAUAGAUGGAUCCGCGCUGCAUUAGCUAGUUGGUAAGGUAACGGCUUACCAAGGCAACGAUGCAUAGCCGACCUGAGAGGGUGAUCGGCCACACUGGAACUGAGACACGGUCCAGACUCCUACGGGAGGCAGCAGUAGGGAAUCUUCCGCAAUGGGCGAAAGCCUGACGGAGCAACGCCGCGUGAGUGAUGAAGGUCUUCGGAUCGUAAACCUCUGUUAUUAGGGAAGAACAUAUGUGUAAGUAACUGUGCACAUCUUGACGGUACCUAAUCAGAAAGCCACGGCUAACUACGUG
Molecule: ribosomal RNA, 497 nt
Filed under: uncultured bacterium
Lineage: Bacteria
Description: partial 16S ribosomal RNA
Rfam family: Bacterial small subunit ribosomal RNA
Source: RNAcentral